Long non-coding RNA from Heterocephalus glaber (naked mole-rat), 3756 nucleotides. RefSeq lists it as uncharacterized. The record is from RefSeq and is a predicted model, not a curated record. NCBI's taxonomy places the organism in Eukaryota, Metazoa, Chordata, Mammalia, Rodentia, Bathyergidae.
GGCCCAGGCUGUUUACUCAGACUUGGGGGUUGUUAGUAUAUGAGUGACUGCCGUGAUGUGGCAGCAUGGAUCCUCCACUGCUUGGCCCCAACUCUAGACAGGUGCCCAAUGUGUCACCCUGCCCUGGGGCCCUGAACUCUGCCCUGUGACUCCUUCUGCUUGGGAUGCCCUUGCUAGACUUCUACAGGCAGCAGACCCUACUCAUCUUCUAACACUUGCUUAGAAGUCACCUCUUCCCUAUGAUGCCCUUCCUGACUCCCCGAGAGAGAGCCACUGCCCUCCUGUCUUCUCCCACUGCACCUCACUAUGACCUCAACAAUGACCCAGCCCAUGUGCCACCUCAUCUGUUUACCCCUUCCCCUCAGUGAGCUUCUGGAAGGCAGGGACUGCAACUCUGUUCCUCUCUGUCCCCAUCGCCCAACAUGAAGCCUGAGCACAGCGGAUAUUUACUAAAUGAAUGGAGCUCUCCUGUCUAAAAGAGGAGUGAAAGAAAUUACAUCCAUGCAAACUGACUCACACUGCAGCUGCUGUCUGCAAGGAAAAAAAGGUGGAAAAAUAAGGCGCUGUCACUGAGCACUAAUAAGCUCAAUGGGAAAGAGUGAUAUCUUCCCUUGCAGAGCUUCUUAACAAUCUAGAAGAGCUGCCAGGAACCUAAGAGGUGAGUAUCUCAGGGGAUGCAAGGUGUGACAAGAAAUGUACCUGAUGAAGGUGUUCUGGGUUUCAACUGUGGAAACAGCCAACAACCAGUGCACCAGGCAUCAAAGACAGAGGGAAAGAGGUGACAUCCCUUCCAUUUAGCCCUGAGAGGAAUCCUAGGGGCCAGGUACUACAAGCCUUCCUCCAUAGAUGAGGUCAAGGAGUUACCGAAGAGCUCAGUGACCUGACCAAGGUCACAGAGCUGGAGAGUGAAGGUCUCAUACCCAGGCCUGCUAACACCAGUGCUUGUAUUCCUUCCAGCACAGUCCAGAGCCUGCCUCUCAGACACAGGUUCCCACAGCAGCAGCACCCUUAGGAUCCUGUGAGCCUCGGACUGCACCGAGGAAGCAUGGUUCUGGAGAGGGGACGGGAUUUACCCAGGGCCGCCUACAGGAGCUGCAGUCUGAUCUCGCACUCCUGCCCAGGCUCUGGGAAUGCAGCCUGCAUUCUCACACAUACUCCUUAGUGGGCACAGACAAAGCAAAAGCAAAAACAGUCUCACAGUCUAACCUAUCUGCUCACAUGCACCUUACAAAUAUAUGUGAGAGGAGACAGAGAUUGUGUCUUUCGUGAACUGUGACUCACAUGGUCCUGAGGUCCCACAAACAGGCAUUAAGGUAACUGAAGAGCUUUUACUGCACCAAGCAGAUGACAAAACCAGCAGCAUGAGUUGAACUGACCAGUGCAUGGUAGCUCUCUCAGAGCCAGACACACUUUGCUGCACCUGUUGUGUGCAGAACUCUCCACAAGGCAGCCCAGAGCAGGGAAGAGAACCCUGGAGCUGAACUGUGGCUCCUCCACUCACUACUUGUGUAAUAUUCUGAAUUCUAACCGCUCUAAGCCUGUUUCCUCAUCUAUACAAAAGACUGCACCGCCCAUUUCACAAAGCUGUGCCCACGUGGGGUGGCAUAUGUACCUGGCGUACAGCAAAGGUCAAAUGGUUUUGUUCAUUCCUGAGCAAGCAAAAUAAUUUAUGUAUACCGUAGAAAAAGGAAUGGAAAAAACAGCUACGCCCAAACUCUUGUAAAAUCUUAGUAUGAUAAAAUAGCAUCUUUUGAGGACGUACUAAAGCAUAAAGAAAUUCUGUAAGAAAUUUUUAGCGGCUGAGUAAUUUUAAGGCAGGAUGGGGGAAGGGAAAGCAGAGGGAGAGGAAAGGGAAAGGGAAAAGAGAAGAGCUGAAUUUGAAUCUCUCACUGUACUGGCAGGAGUCAAAAAAGAGUUAACAUGGACACAAAGACAAUGUUACACUAUGCCAACGGACAGAGGUGCUUCCUAAUUACUUAUAACUUUAUCUUCUCUGUCAAAGUCCUAUGCAACCUUUGAUACCUCACUUGCCUGAUGAUCUUUUCUGUUUCACUCAUUAGAAGGUCAAUUCAUAUUUCUUCUAUUAAUUCCUAUUAUUAUCGCACACACUGCACCGUGUCUGCUUGCUGGGCUCCCAUACCAACUCCCGAGCUUCUGAGGAUACACUCUGCAUGUGAUUCAUCUCUAGGCUCACACAGUAGCUGUCCUCUCCAUCCAGGAUCCCCAGCCAGUAGUCACUGGCUCAGAGUCCCCAGGCAGGGACUCAUCUUCCACAGCGGGAAGAUGAGACAGCUCACAUUUACGGUGCUCAUUCCAUGUUGAAUAUUCAAAUAUGAAUGCACAUAUUCCUCCAAAAGCGCCAGUGAGAGAAUACUGUCCCUGUUUUGUAGAAGGGGACACUUUGGCUCAGAGGGGUGAGGGCAGCAGCCAAAGGGUCACAUCGCUAGCAAAUACAAUGAGGCCAGGAUGUGAGCCAGAGUCUGACUCCGAAUUUGUCUGUCCUCUAGAGCAGACAGCUCAGCCUGGGUCUAAUGGGGCCUAGGCACUGGGAAGGAUGACCAGGCUGGGCACCAACCCAGCUGUGGUCUUCUAAGUACGGGUGGUACCAAGGAGCUGUGGCAAAGGGAAAUAAAAAGGUGAACACCAGCUCAGAGAAGCAGAUAGGCGGCUUCUGGAGAAGAAAACUUCCACAUGAGUGUAACAGGUGGCCAUCUCUGAGAUCGGUCCUUUCUGAAGAGAAGGAGCUAGAGCCUGGGUCAGGAGUUCUUAGCCAUGUGUGAUUGGCUAAGGCCACUGGUCAGAAUUUUCCGAUCCUUCCAAACGCUACGGGAUCAUUUGAGGACGUGAACCUACAUGUCAGCGUUUCUAGAAGAAAGCUGUGAACAGAAGUGACCACAGGAAGUCUGGGAAUGUCACCUCCCUUUCCUUUCCCCACCCUUCAGCUCAGUAAAGGGAACUUCCAUGGUGUGUUGUAGGCACUGUCGCACCUCACACCUGUCAUCGGCUAAGCCCUGCUCCUCAGGUCUUCUGGGCCUAGGCCUGGCAACCUCCCACCACCUAGGGCCUCGAGUGCUGACCUCGGCACUGAAGGUUUGGCCCUUGCUGGAAAAGAUGAGCCAGAGCUGGGAGAGCUGUGUAAAAGGAAGCCAUGCUUCGGCUGUUAUGUGUCUGCCGACACAACUGACAUCCUCAGGGAGAAGAGAACAUAAGCAACCCUACAAAAUCCAAAAGAGCCUAAAAUACUGUGCCCACUUACGUUAUCAAGAGAAUGACAGCCAAAAAUUGGAACCAAUCCAAAGAUCCAGCAGCAGGUCAAAGUACAAGCAAAUGGCACAAAACGUUGAGAGAAGAAUUUCUUGGGUCUGGAGUACAGAGUAACUCAGAACACUGCCCACGAUUUACUGUCAAUGAAACUACUAGAACUUAGUAUUAUGUAUCACACGUCUAUCAUAAAAACUUUAAAAUAAUAGCAACAACCAUUGAAAUGCUCCUGUUUGCCAGGUACUAUCCAGGCAUUUGGCACCUAGAUCACCAAGGUGGGUCACCCAGCCCAUGGGCAUGAUUCCAAUGAAGUCCAGCCUAACAAACCUCCCUCAGAAACAAAACAACAAAGAACUUACACUCAACAUCCCAAAACUGGGCUCAGUCAUUCUUUCCAAAGCCAAAACAACAUAUACAACAUUUGUGCUAACGAUGCUAUCUGGACAUAAUUAGCAAUUCAUAAAGUACUUGCCUUACAUGGCAUCGCACUUACUC